AACACUAUAGUGGCCGCUAUAGGGUAAAUAACAGCGGGGGCGGAGCGGUUCCCGACCCAGAGCGGUUUUUGUCUCUCUACUCUUUUUCCCCUCUGAAAAACCAAAAUUACCCCUUAAAUUUAAAACAUUUUAAGGGUCAUUUUGGAUUUUUCAAACAAAUUUGAGUUGAGACUCAACCCUAACCUUCCUUCACCGACAUUUCUGCACUUCAAC
Molecule: long non-coding RNA, 213 nt
Filed under: Lathyrus oleraceus (garden pea)
Lineage: Eukaryota; Viridiplantae; Streptophyta; Magnoliopsida; Fabales; Fabaceae
Description: Pisum sativum (pea) long non-coding RNA (PSAT_LNC026646)
Source: RNAcentral